This is a long non-coding RNA of Xiphophorus couchianus (Monterrey platyfish), 80 nucleotides long. RefSeq lists it as uncharacterized. The record is from RefSeq and is a predicted model, not a curated record. The transcript is spliced from 4 exons. NCBI's taxonomy places the organism in Eukaryota, Metazoa, Chordata, Actinopteri, Cyprinodontiformes, Poeciliidae.
UUUUUAAUGAAAGAAUUUUGGAUUACCAUAUUUUCCGGACUACAGAGGGCACCUCACAAUAAGACGCACCCACAAAGUUU